Molecule: ribosomal RNA, 446 nt
Filed under: uncultured bacterium
Lineage: Bacteria
Description: partial 16S ribosomal RNA
Rfam family: Bacterial small subunit ribosomal RNA
Source: RNAcentral
ACUACGGGAGGCUGCAGUAGGGAAUUUUCGGCAAUGGGGGGAACCCUGACCGAGCAACGCCGCGUGAACGAAGAAGUUAUUCGUAAUGUAAAGUUCUUUUAACAGGGAAGAAAGAGAAAUUUGACGGUACCUGAAGAAUAAGCUCCGGCUAACUACGUGCCAGCAGCCUCGGUAAUACGUAGGGAGCGAGCGUUAUCCGGAAUUAUUGGGCGUAAAGUGUGCGUAGAGGGCAUCGUAAGUAUUUUGUAAAAAUGCUGGGCUCAACCCAGUAGGGCAAAAGAUACUGCAAAGCUAGAGUAUGACAGAGGCAAGUGGAACUACAUGUGUAGCGGGAAAAUGCGUAAAUAUAUGUAAGAACACCAGUGGCGAAGGCGGCUUGCUGGGUCGAUACUGACAUUGAGGCACGAAAGCGUGGGGAGCAAACAGGAUUAGAUACCCGAGUAGUC